This 515-nucleotide ribosomal RNA is filed under the name uncultured bacterium. RNAcentral describes it as "partial 16S ribosomal RNA". It matches the Rfam family "Bacterial small subunit ribosomal RNA", at positions 28 to 523 of the family's 1533-position model. The record is from RNAcentral.
GAUGAACGCUGGCGGCGUGCCUAAUACAUGCAAGUCGAGCGAAUGGAUUAAGAGCUUGCUCUUAUGAAGUUAGCGGCGGACGGGUGAGUAACACGUGGGUAACCUGCCCAUAAGACUGGGAUAACUCCGGGAAACCGGGGCUAAUACCGGAUAACAUUUUGAACCGCAUGGUUCGAAAUUGAAAGGCGGCUUCGGCUGUCACUUAUGGAUGGACCCGCGUCGCAUUAGCUAGUUGGUGAGGUAACGGCUCACCAAGGCAACGAUGCGUAGCCGACCUGAGAGGGUGAUCAGCCACACUGGGACUGGGACACGGCCCAGACUCCUACGGGGAGCAGCAGUAGGGAAUCUUCCGCAAUGGACGAAAGUCUGACGGAGCAACGCCGCGUGAGUGAUGAAGGCUUUCGGGUCGUAAAACUCUGUUGUUAGGGAAGAACAAGUGCUAGUUGAAUAAGCUGGCACCUUGACGGUACCUAACCAGAAAGCCACGGCUAACUACGUGCCAGCCGCCGCGGUAA